This 103-nucleotide microRNA precursor is filed under the name Marmota monax (woodchuck). The record is from RNAcentral. Lineage: Eukaryota; Metazoa; Chordata; Mammalia; Rodentia; Sciuridae.
AGUGGGAUAGCUGGGUCAAAUGGUGGUUCCAUUUCUAGUUUUCAAAGGAAUCUCCAUACUGCUUUCCAUAUUGGCUGCACCAAUUUGCAGUCCCAUCAGCAAU